ACUGCGGUAGGACAUUG
This 17-nucleotide ribosomal RNA is filed under the name Corymbia hamersleyana. RNAcentral's name for it is "partial 18S ribosomal RNA". The record is from RNAcentral. RNAcentral also lists the same sequence under 1 other name. Lineage: Eukaryota; Viridiplantae; Streptophyta; Magnoliopsida; Myrtales; Myrtaceae.